UCUUCACCAGGGAGAGCGAAAAAAUCCGACACUCUAAGGUUAGUAAGGUACUCUGGCACAGAUUCGGUGUCUCCCGUAGGUGGACUGGCUCAUUUCGUUUUUCUUCAAAAUAGCCUGAAAUCUUUUCUCCCGCGAUGUCUAAGUCCUAGUUAUUUUUAACAAGAAUAAAGUACUAGAAUAGUUUUUUUUUGUUCUUUAUGUAGAUUGGUUUGGUAGGGGUCAAUAAUUAUUUCAUAAUGGAGUCACUAGCUAUACUUGUUAAUAAAGCACAUAUAAUGAAUAUUUAGUAUUUAUGGAGUCCCCUAUGAGUCACUCGUACCUCCGGCACUUAUUUAUGUUCCGUUCCGUUGACCGUGAGACACAUCCGUUGGCCUUUGUGCCUCAAUUCUAUCUAGAUCUGUUCCAGAACCAUCCAUCUCAAACCUAAAAUCAUCACAAAAAUUGUUUGAAAACACAGAUUUAAGUUACUGAAAUAUAACGUAAUGUCUUGCUUUAUUCAAUACUCAAUAGAGUAGAAGAGUAUUUAUACACAUACAGAUUGCCUAGUCUUGAUAGAAUCGUAUCUAAGUAACUAUAUUGAUAUAUAUCCUAAUCUAUGUAUACAUUUUUGGAUCAUAAUUAGCAAAUAAAUCCUGAAGUUGAGAAGUAUUUACAAUGACAUGCCACUAGCAUUAAUUAUUUAGAUUUAUUUUAUUUAAGUAAAGAUUUUUAAUUGAAAUUCAUUUCUCAUAUAUUUAGCAAAAGUCUCUGUGGAUGUCGGAUUCACACACUCAAGUAUUUUGUUAAGUGGGAAAGAUUAUUUUUGAGGGACAAAAAUGAAUAUGUAAAAACUUAUAAAUUGAUACGAAAAUUGCUAUAGUAUUUCUCUCUUGAGAGGAAGAUCCCCCUUACAUGACCAUUGGCCUCUAUAUUUAUACAUAGAUAAACGAUAUUAAAAUGAGUAAUUAAGUACAAUUAUUCCUUCUUAAAUGUGUCCGUUUUGAUUCUUCGACUUUAAUGCUCAACGUUUGAAUUUGAGUUGACUCUGAUCUUCAUGGGCCUCGCCUCUUUUGGCCCAAGUGUCCUUGAACCGACUUACCCGUGUCUUCUACACCGAACUCGUGUCACAGUGCAGUCACUUCGGAUUCUCGAAAUGGUGACAACCACUUCGACCGUCCCUUCGGCUCACGGGUCCAAUGGGCUUCAUCUUUUAUGGGCCAUUAUCUUGAUUACGUGGCAAUCUUUGGUUGGUCUCGUACUUCUGGUGCGGGAUCCGACACCAACAAUUAGCCCCCCAAGUUCUUCGAAGUGUUAUUCCAAUUCGGAGGACUUUAAAUGCUCAAGUGGCCAAAGAUUGCGCUCGAGAAUCUUUCUGAUUUCCCGCCGAAAAUCUCAUCACUCCUUUAAUUUCGGCACUAGCCAUUUUUAACCGAGUGACAUCUGUCAUCAUUAUGACCGUAUAUUGAUUAAUUACUAUUAAAACGGGAAAAACCUUCCCACUUCCCACACGACUUCCGAGGCGGUUUCAUCAUUAGCUUGAGGUAACUUCUUUUCACCAUUACUCUCUUCUUUUUACUUUUGUACUUUAAUCAAAAACUCUCUCUUUUCUUCUUCACGAAAAACCUCUUUUCGCCGGAUCUUGAAAUUUUCAUUUUUAUUCGAUGACUUCUGAUUCUGAAAAACCUGAAUCUCCGUCUUACGACGAAAGGCGUUCUAGUAAUGACGAAUGCACUCGUCCUAACGACAUCGCCGGUCCUCAUUACAAAUCCACCUGUACUCUUCAAUCCCUUGAGCGAUUGAAGGGGCUUUGUCAAAUUCCUCCUGGAAUUAUAGCGGAGGCGCAAAUAGCCGACCCUACGGAAUCUCCUGAGAACCACCGUGCCGGCUACUUUUGUGUUUACGAAAUUUACUUCAAGGGCUGCGGAUUGACCUUCCCCCUUCCCGAAGCCCUAGUUCGAUUCUUGGCGGCUCUCGAGAUCGCUUUGCCUCAAUUAACCCCCAAUCUCCUCCGAACCAUCCUCGGGAUUAUAACUGUUGCGGCGGAGGCUGGCUACGUCAUUGGAGUCCCCGAGCUGAAUGAACUCCUAAGCGUAAGGAGUUCAUCAAAGAAAACUGGGUACUUCUCGGCGUAUCCAAAUGCCAAUAGAAACGUCAUCUCGCACCUCCCGAACAAGGAUGAGUACUGGCACCAUCCUUGGUUUCUGAUUAAGAAAAAUCCUACUUCGAUUGGGAAUCUUUCCGAUGUACUCCCAUCGAAGUGGUCUGCGAAACCUGGUAGAGACUAGGUCGUAUAUUCCUUUAUUGUUUAUUAUUAUCUUUUACUGACCGAAUUUGUUGUUUCAUUUCGCAGCUUUUAUCGCUUCAACUCUCCCGACUGAAGAAUUUGUCAAGUUCUUCAAAACAAUCCUUGAAGGAGAAACCCUUUGGAAUUCUUUUUCCCUCGACCGAUUUGUCGAGGCCAACCGGAAACUCAGGAUGAGUCCUCCCAAUCUACUUCAUCGUCUUCCGCCUCCUCCCUCAACUCAGGGAAUGUCAGCUCGGGCCCUCGCUGCCCAGCGUAAGAAGCUCUCCAAGCCGAUAGCAGAGGCUUGUGAUGAAAACAAGGCGUUCCUUGCGACCGCCAUCGACAAAAAAGAUUACAGCAGGACCCUGCUGGUUGAUGACAACAGCUCCGAGGGAGCCAGAUCCGUUGCUGCUUAUAGGUUAACACCUCGCCGCAAACGCCGCGACGAGCGUUCUCCUCGGAGAGAGCGGUCUCCUCGUCGUGAUUCUCCUCGUCCUCCCCGAGACGAUUUCAGCAACGAAACUCUUAAGAAUUUGGUUCGUAAGAAGAGGGACAAGUCGUCCCGUGAUGACUCGUCUCCGCGAAGGGAGAAAUCAAGGGCCCGGACUGACCGUUCACCUCGAUCAUCCCCUUCUGCUGAACCAAUGGGUCCUCCCCGACCUGUUGACAUGUCUUCUUCUUCCCAGCCCGUCAGCGAAAAGACUGCUCGGAGUGCAUCCCCUAAAAGUGGAGAUUCUGAAUCUCGAGAUGCUCCCUCGAGGCUAAAGCCUGCUCUUGUCCCUCAAGUCAAAUCGCUUUCAGGUUUGGUGAUUUACACAUAUUUAAACUUUUUGUCUUUAUUAAAAUUCCAAUUUUUACAACUCUUCCUUCUUCGCAGCUAUGGAGAAAGAGGGCAGCGUCUUCCGAUGCUUCAAGACCCGAUUGGAUUCGAUCCUGCCAGACUUCGACAAAUGGCGCCCUGCGAUUCGUGAACGCUAUUUGCUUCACGCGCAUCACUCAUCUCGGGUUAGUUCCGUUUCUUCUUUUUUUUUUUUAUUGCAUUGCCAUUCCGCGAACUAACUCGCCAUCCCGGGUUCAUGUAUAAUGCCAGGCUCAUAGCGAACUUAACGACAUGAUCGAACAUUACGAAGGGUUGGUCAUUGGACGGGAGAAGGAGGUUGACAUGUGGAAAAAGAAACUCUCUGCCCUUGAGGCUGAACUCAGUUCUUCUGUCGGCUCCAAGCACGAUCUGGAGGACAAGGUCGACAGUUUAACAUCAGAGCUUGCGCAGAUAAAGGGGGAGCUGCAGGGUCAGUACGACCAGAACUUCAAGCUCCAGGAAGAGUUUUCUGGUGUUCAGGGUAGGCUUCAAGAAUCCGAAUCAACCGCCGAUACCCUGAACAAUCAAAUCAUCGAGCUUGACGCGAAGUACAAGCGCUAGCCAAGUUGCGUGAUUCUGAGUUGGCAAGGUCGGCAUCGAAGGCCAGAAAGGAGGUUAAGAGACGCGGGAUGGAGUUGAUCCAAGGGGCCAUUCGCUUCAUGCAAACUGAGAAGGCUAGGUCGGACUUGGAGUCAGACAUCAAAGAGCAUGAAAGCAACCUGAUUCUGCUGGAUCAAACCCAUGAAGCAGAUUUCUCUGAGGAGCAAGAGAGGACUGAGCUGUCAGCUAGUCUUUCUGAGAAACGGAGUCGCUUGGCAGCUCUUCCCACUUCGACCUUCAACCCGCUUGACUUCGAGGAAUUCUUUACUGAAUCACCUCCUAUAAGUGAAUCGGGUUUAGACUGGGCAGGUAACACUUGGCUCCUGAGGCUUACCUUUUCUUACCUUGUACCUUUGAUUGACUGGAAUUAUUAUUUCCAGGUUCAAGUGAGACGGAAGGCAUUGUCCCGCCCGUAGCUCCUAUGGUACCGGAGGUCACUUCGGAGGUUGGUCGUACCGCGGAGGGUGGUCAGGGAGCUUCAUCUGAUCAAGCACCAGUCAAGGAGGUGAAUGAAACUCUGGUUGCUGAGCCGGAAUCUGAGGUGGAGAUCACUCCGUAGUGGCUGUGUCCACUUUAAAUUGGGGAUUGUCCCUUUUAUUUUAAGACUUAAUUUCGAACUUAUUUUUGGCCUAAGGAGGCUUUAUUGUUUCUUUUGAACAAGAUAUUUGCCUGAGAAGGCUUUUAAACCUUUCUAGGUUGUGACCCAAGGGGGUUUGGUUAAAAUUAUAUGCGGGUUUGCAAAGUCCGCUUUUAACCUUUUGUGGCCAUGUGGUUAUGCUUUUGAGAUUUUUAGGCUGAUCAGACCUUUCUCUUUAGAAUGCGAGAACUGAGCUCGGCUUAAAGCGAGUUCCCCACUUCGGGUUUAGUCAACUCGAUAAACUUACUAGGCUUGGGCCUUAGAAACUUUUGUAGUUAAUGCGACGGUUGCGCUUUCCCUUCUUAUAAGUAAGGAAAACGGCUCGUCUUUAAUGCAAAAAAUGCUUUUUCUCGAUUUCCAAAAAUGGUUUAAACCACUCGGACACACUACCAUUAUUGGGUUUAUGGUUCCAAGACAAACCCUAAAUCAUUAUAAAUAAAGGCUUACCUACUUCUAAGCUUUAUUUACACAUGACUUUAGAAUCUUACUUGAGGAAUAUUUCGAGAAUGGAAAACGAAGGAGUAGCUCCCAUCGCCCCCGGCAGCCCACUUUUCUUGUCCGGCGACGGAUUUGAACCGGCCGGCGUGCUCUUUCCCCACGCCGUCUUUCACUUCCCUUCAAAGGAGAAGAAAGAGGCUUGCGACUUCAUUGACAAGGUAAAUAUUUAAAGUUUUUGACUGAAAACUUUUUGCUUCAUCUUAUUCACUCAUCUUUAUGCUAGGUCGCCGACAAGCACCGUCGCUUGUGUGAAGAGAGGCAGCGGCUGGGCCUCAAAAGGCAAACACUCGAGGCUCGCAUCGCUCGGGUGGAGAGGAAGAUACGGGCCUUGGAAAGUGAUCCCUUCCAAUGGGAAUGGCGGAACUUCGACUCCAUCGCUGAGAUCCCGAAGAUGCUUCGGAUGUAUCUCCGUGCUAAAGGAGUCUCAGGUCCCGUGAACGUCCCUGUCUGCGCCGUUCCAUCUGACAGUGAAGAGGAAGACGAUUUGGAGGAGGAGGCCAGCAACUGUCGGAAACGUGUUCGGGAUCGUUCCGAAGUGGAUGCCAAGAACAAGGCGUCCACUUCGAAGACUAAACCGGCGAUGAAGGAGCCUGUUCCUGAGCCUCUCCCAUAAAUGUUCUUUAACUUCUCCACUUAUUUUAAACUCGUAAUGGGCUUCGGCCCUUUUUUAUUUAUGGAAAUAUUUGCAACUUUCCUUUAUUUUCAAAUAUUCUCAGAGAUGCGCCUUUUAAUGCAGGAUCUGUUCGAAGGCAUAAAUCUCUCCGCGAAUCACUCCAUUCUUUGGAUAGAAUCCGCAGCUUGCUAAGGAUAUGGGGUUCCUACAAAUUAUAGUUUCAAUUUCCCUUUACUCCUCACCAUUCUUUUUAGCAGGUAUGGAGUUCAAUCUUCGCUGUUCAGAAUCUAUGCCUGACUUCUCCAGAAUCGGAAUGAUGAGCGAAGAUGUUCCAAAUGAGCCAAACAGGCAGCCUCCUCCACUUCGCGGCUUCUUGAGAUCUCAGAUCCGAGCCCCAUGUGCUUUGAUCAGGGAUCUCUCAAUCAGAAACCAAGGAACAGCGACGGCGUUCAUAGAGACACUCGAGCUUCAACACCGGAAGCUUAUGUCGGAAAAGAGGAGACUUCGGAAAAGGAUUAACCGGAUGCAACGCAGGCUUACAACGGUGUCAAGAGAUCUUCACAUCCUUGAAUCUCACCCCGGAGAGUGGAUUGAGCUUGGAAUUUCAGACUUUGCUCGAAUUCCAGACUGUAUGAUGCCAAUCCUCGAUCUUGCUGGUCAAGGAGUUGAAGUGUGCUGCUCGUCAACAAGAUUUCCAUAGUCCGAAGUGUACGAUGAGGGACAUUCCGUCUUCUAAAUAACGCUUUAUUUCCAAUUCCUUGUAUGUUCGCUUAGCCGAACCUUCUAUUUGCUUCACUUGUUCGCACAGUCGAACAUUUCUCCUUUAAUAAAGAAAUAAAACAAAUUUUUAUUAAUAGCUGAACUCGUUUUCGAGCUGCCUACGUACCCAUCUCGGGAUCAAGCCACACCGUAGUUCAUGUACAUAAACAAUGCAUGUAGCUUUAAACAUAAAAUUUCUUUAGGUUGAUCACAUUCCAAGGUCGCUUGACUGGAUUGUCUUCUAAGUCUUUCAACCUAUAAACACCGUUCCGAACCACUUCGGUAAUAAUGUAAGGUCCUUCCCAAUUAAUACCGAGUUUACCGGCACCUUCUUCUUUUCUGUUGUCAAAGACGCGCCUUAAUACAUAAUCUCCCACGAAGAAAGGCCUACUUUUAACCUUAGAAUUGUAAUACCGGGCUGCUGCCUGCUGGUAAUUCUGGAUCCGAAUUAGAGCUUGAUCGCGCCUUUCAUUUAUGGUAUCCAGUGAAUCAUUAAGCAUUGCUGAAUUUUCUUCCUCAUUUAACGGUGCUUCUGUUCGACGAAGUCCGGGCACAUUGAGUUCAGCUGGUACUACCGCCUCCAUGCCAUAAACCAAAGAGAAUGGAGUUUCUCCUGUAGGUCGCCUAGGGGUUGUACGAUAGGCCCACAGGACGGGUUGGAGUUCUUCAUACCAUCCUCCCUUUAGAUGAUUUAAGCGUUUCUUGAGAUUGCUUAAUAUUGUUUUGUUCGCAGCUUCAGCUUGUCCGCUCCCUUGCGGAUAUCGUGGAGUAGAAUAACUAACUUUGAUUCCCCAGUCCGCACAAAAGGCAUCAAACUCGUGUGAAAUGAAUUGUGGCCCAUUAUCAGUGACUAUUUCGUAUGGAACUCCAUGUCGACAUACAAUGUUUUUCCAAAUAAAGGUCUUCACCGUCGAAUCCUUGAUACCGACAUACGCCUCAGCUUCAAUCCAUUUUGAAAAGUAGUCCGUAAGGACUAAAAGGUACUGUACACCUCGAGUUGACUUGUGCAAUGGCCCAAUGAUGUCCAUUGACCACCUCAUAAACGGAUAUGGGGCGGAAAUGGAGGAGAAUAAUUCCGACGGUUGAUGGAUCAAUGGUGCAUGGAGUUGGCAGCGCUUGCAUCUUUGGGCGAAUUUAACACAAUCUGUGAUCAUAGUGGGCCAAAAAUACCCCAUUCUUUUAACUUUAAAAGCCAUAGCUCUUCCUGAUGAAUGACUCCCACAUAAUCCUUCAUGCACUUCGCUCAUGACGAUUUCGACUUCGGGCCCAAAAAUGCAUAAUAGGUAAGGGUCACUGACACCUCGUCUAUAUAACGCAUCCUUCGACAUACAAAAUUUCGCGCUAACGACUUUCAUUUUCCUGGCCUGCCAUUUAUUCUUUGGGAGCUCACCCGUCAUGAUGUAGUGCUUUAUUGGCUCCCUCCAGUCAGCCCCCCAGUCUUUAGCCGGAAUUUGGCCAACUUUGUGAAAUAUUCGUGGCUCUGGUUCGGGAUGCUCGUUUGGUUCAAGAAUAUCCUCCUCGAUUAAUGGCUCGGUUUCUAACAUUUUUUCUGGAACCACUUUUUCAGCUAAGACAACGGGUUCCUUGUUAGAUGCAUUUGAUCCCCUUGACUUCCUGCGUUUGUUGGGUGGCGGCUCGAUCUCUGGUUCGCCACGGUCGCGUGCCGCUGCUCGAGACCUUGUAACGACGAGGGUUUCCUUGCUGUCUUGAAUACUUCGCUCCGAGAUGCAUUCUACUGGAAUAACUCUCUUUAACUCAGGAUCUGACGUUGACGCCAAUGCGGCAAGUGCAUCCGCAGUUGUAUUCUCUCCCCGAGGUAUGCGGAUUAUUUCAAAUUUCGAGAAAUUUUUAGAUAGAUCCUUCACCACUUUGAGGUACGCUUCCAUUCUUGAAUCUUUGGCCUCAUAGUCUCCAUUAAAUUGGUUAACUACUAAUUGCGAAUCGCAAUAAGCCAUAAUUUCCUUAGCUCCAACUCCUUGUGCUAGUCGAAGUCUGGCAAUAAGGGCUUCGUAUUCUGCCUCGUUGUUGGAGGCAUUGAAUAACAAUCGGAAUGAUUGUUCUAGAAUUUCUGAUGUUGGAGAUUCCAACUUGAUUCCCACUCCGGAUCCUUGUUUUGUUGAAGACCCGUCCACGUGUAAUUUCCAAGUUUGGUUCUCCGAUUGCUCUGUCGUUCCAGGUAUUGGUAGUUCGGUUAGGAAGUCUGCUAAGACCUGAGCCUUCAUACUGAUCCGGCUUUUGAACUCUAUGUCGUACUCGCUUAAUUCCACCGCCCAUUUCGCCAAACGUCCGGACUGACUUGGACUAUGAAGUAUUGUUCUGAGUGGUUGGUUAGUUAAUACUUCGACCGGAUGGGACUGAAAAUACAGACGCAGCUUCCGAGCUGAAGUUACCACCGCGAGUGCAAGCUUUUCCAUCAUUGUGUAUCUGGUUUCUGGAUCCGUCAUUGACUUGCUCACGUAGUAAAUUGGCUUCUGUUCCCCACGGUCUUCCCGAACCAAGACUCCACUAACCGCGUGGUCUGAAACUGAUACGUACAAGUAAAGUUUUUCAUCCACUUCUGGUUUGGACAGUAUAGGUGGAGUGGUUAAGUAUGCCUUAAGCUGCCCAAAAGCUUCUUCACACUUCUCAUCCCAAAGGAAUCCUUUGUUCCCUUUUAGAAUUUGGUAGAAGGGUAACGAUUUAUCUGUUGAUCUUGAGACAAAACGAUUCAAAGCCGCAAUCCGCCCCGUCAACCGUUGUACUUCUUUGAAGUUUCUUGGAGACGGCAUAUUUAGAAAGGCGUUAAUUUGGUUUGGAUUGGCUUCAAUCCCUCUUUCUGUCACGAUAUAGCCAAGAAAUUCUCCGGAUGGGACUCCAAAUGUGUACUUCGCCGGGUUCAGCUUCAUUUGAUAUUUAUUGAGAAUAUCAAAACAUUCCUCUAAAUGCUUAACGUGAUCCUCUUUCUUUAAUGACUUAACCAACAUAUCAUCUAUGUAAACUUCCAUUGUUUUUCUGAGGUGAUUGUGAAACAUUUUGUUCACCAACCGUUGGUAAGUUGCUCCUGCAUUUUUCAAACCAAAAGGCAUUACCUUGUAACAGUAGAUACCUCUAUCUGUGAUAAAUGACGUCUUUUCUUGAUCAUCGGGGUUCAUCAUUAUCUGAUUAUAACCCGAGAAGGCGUCCAUGAACGUUAACAGCUCAUUUCCAGCGGUGGACUCUACAAGUCGAUCUAUAUGCGGGGCGGGAAACUAUCUUUGGGACAUGCUUUAUUCAGGUCUGUAAAAUCGAUGCAAACCCUAUCUUUCCCGUUCUUUUUCUUGACAACGACAGUGUUUGCUACCCACUCCGGAUAUUGCACUUCUCUUAUGGACCCUAUCUUCAAAAGUUUAUCCACUUCGUCGUUUAUUAUUUUUGCCCGCUCCACUCCAAGCUUUCUUCUUUUUUGUUUCACCGGUUUGAAGCUUGGAUCCACGUUUAGUUCAUGACAAAUUAUACUCGGAUUUAUGCCAGGCAUGUCCGCUGCUGACCAUGCAAAUGAUGCUUUAUUUUUCCUUAAGAGUUCGAUCAAAGCUUCUUUUAUUUGGCCAGUCAACGUUGCUCCAAUUCGAAUUUUCCGAUCUGGUUUGUCUUCUUCCAAUACCGCUUCUACUACCACAUCCUCUUUUUCCUGCCCACUAGGAAAUUUUUGCCUUAGUCCUUCUUUUGCGGGCUUUGUUAAUUGCUAUUGGAUCUUCAAACGGUAGCUAGCUAAGUAACACGUCCGUGAAGCUUCUUGAUCUCCCUGAAUUGUUUCCACCCCAUUUGAUGUUGGAAAUUUGAUACAUUGAUGGUAUGUAGAGGGGACUGCUUUCAUCCGAUAAAUCCAGGGAGUCCCGAGGAUGAUGUUGUAAGCUGCGGGCUUAUCGAAGACAACGAAGUCCACGAUCUUCGAUACCUUCUUGGCAAGGACCGGUAACUUGAUUGUUCCGAGAAACAUGGCUGACUCGCUUGUGAACGCAACUAACGGAGAUGGGGGUCCUACUAUGUCUCCUCGGCUGAUUCCCAUUUUUUCUAGAGUACUUAAAAAGAUCAAAUCGACCGAACUGCCUGUAUCUAUAAGGAUCCUCGAUACUUCGAAGUUAGCGACAUCAAGAGUAAUGACUAGAGCAUCAUCAUGCGGUCUUUCGAGAUGCCGCGUUUCUUCUUCGUUAAAUGAUAUUAAGGCACCUUGAAAAUCGAUUUCUUCACUCAAGCUUGCUUUGAGUAAGACAUUUCGCCUAUGCUUUUUGAUGGAACUUAUUGAAUCUCCGCAAAAUCUGGAACCUCCUAGAAUCACAUUGAUCUUACCCUUCGAACUCCUUGGUUCUUCCUCGUUGGAUAACCUUGGUCUUUUGGAAUCUUGAUCUUUGGAGUUUUCCUUUGCUUCGUGGUAUUCCUUCACAAAAUCUUUUAUAUCGAAUUUAGAAAGAUCGCCACUAGCCCAAAGCUCUGCGAGGUGCUUUUUAAGAACGCUGCAAUCCUUGGUUAAAUGUCCGGUUACUUUAUGAAUGUCACAAUAUAGACUUUCAUCACGGACCCAAGUGUUUGAUCUUCCUUUCCCUUGGAAUUGCUUUCCGACGGUAUUGUUGAAGGGUUGUGACCCAAAUUUUCUUGGUCCUUUGCUCUCCCUAGGCUCGAACUUCUUGGUAGGGAUGGUGAUCGCCGGCUUUUCUUGCUUAUUUCUUUUGGCAAAACUUUCUUUUUCGUCUUCUACCUCCAUCCAGUUGUUCGCGCGGAAGAGUGCAUCCUGAAUUGUGUCCGGUUUGUGAAGUAUUAAGUCUUCUUUAAACCUUGAAUCAUGUCGCAGUCCUUUUCGUAGGGCAGAUAAAGCUGAUUGCUGCGAGAUUCUUGGGAGCUUUGACAGCACUCCUUUGAAUUUGGUGAUGAAAACUCGAAGUGACUCAUUAGAUCCUUGCGAUAAGUUCCAAAGAUCGGCAUCUGAAACGCUUUUAUCCAUAAGGAUGGAGUAUUGCUUUAAGAAUACGGCUGAUAGUUCGUCGAAAUUGCUGAUCGAACCCGGCUCUAAUUGGGUGAACCACAUUAGAGCUUGGCCACAUAGAUUCUCCGAAAACAGCUUGCAAUAGCCUGCAUCCUCAUCAGCUUCAUCCAAUUCGACUCUUCCAGCAGCGAUCAGAAAAGCUGCGAGAUAGCUUUUUGGAUCCUCCAAUCCGCUGUAAGGGUCCAAUUUGAGUUUCCGGGAAUCUUUGAUCCUCAAACUCGCAAUUCGCGAGAUGAAAGGUGUUCGCCUAGCUUCUUCAAUGACUCGAUUGAUGUCUGGCUCUGAACUUGUAGCUUGAUGAAAUUUUGAUUUCAUUUCUUUUAAUUCCUGGCUAACCUUCCUCAUGGUCUCGAACUGGUCGAGGUUCUCCUGCUCGUACUGAGCUGCAAGUUGUUCUUCAUCCCCGAGCUGCGUCUCUUCUUCCAACGUCUGAGCUACAUUAUUAGUAGCACCGGGAGUUGUUUGUCCGCUGGUUUCAUUACGUGCAGCGGAACUUGGCGAGUUGAAUAUCCCUCUUCGGAUUCCCACCGGGUUUCCUGCACUUAAAGAGCGAACACGAGUUUGUAUAGUAUUGACGUUUUGACUAAGAGAUACCUGGGAUGUUUGCAACGUAUCGACGGCCUUUUCCACGUCCGAGAACUUUUGUGAUAUGUCCGCCAUGGUUUGCUGCAUAGCUUUGAGGGUUUCGGCCAAUGAUGUCUCAGCAGCGUCUCCUCCGGACAUUGUUGUUUAUCUCGGAAGUGUGAUAAAGAAAAAAUCUGACCACUCAAGAACCUAAUGUCCCCACAGACGGCGCCAAAAUGUGGAUGUCGGAUUCACACACUCAAGUAUUUUGUUAAGUGGGAAAGAUUAUUCUUGAGGGACAAAAAUGAAUAUGUAAAAACUUAUAAAUUGAUACGAAAAUUGCUAUAGUAUUUCUCUCUUGAGAGGAAGAUCCCCCUUACAUGACCAUUGGCCUCUAUAUUUAUACAUAGAUAAACGAUAUUAAAAUGAGUAAUUAAGUACAAUUAUUCCUUCUUAAAUGUGUCCGUUUUGAUUCUUCGACUUUAAUGCUCAACGUUUGAAUUUGAGUUGACUCUGAUCUUCAUGGGCCUCGCCUCUUUUGGCCCAAGUGUCCUUGAACCGACUUACCCGUGUCUUCUACACCGAACUCGUGUCACAGUGCAGUCACUUCGGAUUCUCGAAAUGGUGACAACCACUUCGACCGUCCCUUCGGCUCACGGGUCCAAUGGGCUUCAUCUUUUAUGGGCCAUUAUCUUGAUUACGUGGCAAUCUUUGGUUGGUCUCGUACUUCUGGUGCGGGAUCCGACACCAACAGUCUCUACAAAAUCUUUCCUUAUCUAUUUAAGUAAAGAUUCUGAAAUCAAAUAUGUUCUCAACAAUUUACCAAAAAUUUCUACACAAUCUUUUUAAAAAUUUCGACUUAGUUAACUUCUGAUUUUUAUCUGCAAAAAAAAAAUUAAUUGUAACGAGUGAUGUAAAAAUCGGGAAUGUUGAUACUAUAAUUUCUUCUACUUCUUGUUUUUUCAUAUAAUAAAAAUUAUUUUUUAGGGAUAUUUUCUUAAAACCUCUAAACAAAACAAAGGGUUUCAAAAGAUAGCUUCUCUUUUGGCGGGUCGAUCCGCAAACCCGCAACUCUCUACGGGCUUAUCCGCAUGAACCUGCAACCCGUAGUGGAUAAAAAUAUUAUUCAAAAAAAAUAACAAAUGAUGUUUAAUUUUACGGGACGGGGUUAUAUGGUGCAACGGGUUUAGAUCAAUAUUAAUAUUAAAAAAUAUAUUAUGGAUGAAAUCCUAGAAUUAAAAAUCAAAAUUUAAUUAUAAAAUCAGAAACACUAAACAAAAUAAACAAUAUUAACAAAACAAAUACAACUUAAAAUUUUGCAAAAUAGUUUUUUAGUUAUAAAAAAAUUGAUCCGCGGUGUACCACGGGGUAAAAUCUAGAUUUAGAAGUUUAAGGAGAAUUUUUUUUUUUUAAAAUAGCUCUGCGGUGUACCGCAAGAAAAAUCUUUCUCCUAAACUGAGGCAAGAAGAAGAAUAAAGCCAAAUGUCGUUUAAGUGUAUAUAUAGAUAUACCAUUUAAACCUAAAACACAAUUAAUAUACUCAAAAUUAUUAAUAUAGAUAUAUGGAUGGUACAUUUAUAAAAUAGGUCAAAAUAUUAUAUUAUAUACUCUCUAUUAAUAAACAAAACUAAUUAUAUUUAGAUUUUUUAAAAAUAAUUAUAGCCCCGCGGUGUAUCGCGGGUUCAAAUCUAGUAGUUACUAAAUUCCAUGACCACAAACAAAAAAAGCCAACCAUAUAUUGUCCAUUGCAUGAAGAGGGGGCAGAGAAAGACUUACGAAGUAGAAGAAGAAAAUGAGUGAUGCAUGAGGAGUUGCUAAAGGUUGACGAGAUUGACACUGUAAGUUCGUCCCUUAAUUUUAAGAGUUGUCAAAGUCUCGAGUCAUGAUAAUCGGGAGGAGUGGUGGUCUCCUAUAAAUUAAGGUAAGGUCCUUCUUAUCUUCUUUUUUAAACUUGUCUUUGUCUUAAAUGAAAAAUGUAAUCCACCACACACAGAGUUUUCGUACGAUGACCCUAGUUAUACUAACUCAUUAGAAAGACUUUGAAGUCGUCUCCUACAAAACCAAAAAAAAAAAGUCCAAAUUUGUAUUUUUCUGGAACAAAGUGACAAGCGUGACUCUGUUUGUGAUAUGAAUCACUCGUUCGUCUUCAUGAUCUCUCUCAUUAUCUUCGUUUUGAUUUAGACAGAAUUCUGGAUUAAUUGGGUUUUAUUAUAUCUUCCUAGUUACGGUUUCACUGUUGUAGGUAAGCCAACUAACCAAGCCAGAGAGCAAGUUGCAAUAGCAGAAACUUAUAGACAAGCUCUAGUGAGCCAUUGAUUGUAGGAAUACCUGAAAUCUAAGUUCAUAGCAAAUACCUGAAAUUUUUUGUUAUUUUUUUUUUACCUGUUUAUGUCACCAAUGGAUCAACCACUCAUCUUAUAUUUCAUAAUACAAAAUUUAUGAGUUCAACUACGGAAUCUUUUAACUUAUGAUAAAUCUAAAAUAUAAAUUUGUACAUAUAAAAAUAAAAUUUGUUAAUAAAAUCAGAAAUGUCUAUACCUAAAAUUCAGUGCAAAAUUAAUUUAAGUUCCGGAAAAAAAAAAUCUAAAUUUGAAGUAUUUAUGAUUGUCGAUGUUUAAGACUCAUAAGACAAAGAUUGUUUUCGCAGGGGUCAAUAAUUAUUUCAUAUUGGAGUCACAUAUAAUGAAUAUUUUGAAUUUGUGGAGUCCCCUAUGACUCAGGCGAUUUCAAAAUAGCCUGAAAUCUUUUCCCCCGCGAUGUCUAAGUCCUAGUUAUUUUUAACAAGAAUAAAGUACUAGAAUAGUUUUUUUUUUGUUCUUUAUGUAGAUUGGUUUGGUAGGGGUCAAUAAUUAUUUCAUAAUGGAGUCACUAGCUAUACUUGUUAAUAAAGCACAUAUAAUGAAUAUUUAGUAUUUAUGGAGUCCCCUAUGAGUCACUCGUACCUCCGGCACUUAUGUAUGUUCCGUUCCGUUGACCGUGAGACACAUCCGUUGGCCUUUGUGCCUCAAUUCUAUCUAGAUCUGUUCCAGAACCAUCCAUCUCAAACCUAAAAUCAUCACAAAAAUUGUUUGAAAACACAGAUUUAAGUUACUGAAAUAUAACGUAAUGUACUCUUGCUUUAUUCAAUACUCAAUAGAGUAGAAGAGUAUUUAUACACAUACAGAUUGCCUAGUCUUGAUAGAAUCGUAUCUAAGUAACUAUAUCCUAAUAUGAAUCACUCGUUCGUCUUCAUGAUAUAUCUCUUUAUCUUCGUUUUGAUUUAGACAGAAUUCUGGAUUAAUUGGGUUUUAUUUUCUAUCUUCCUAGUUACGGUUUCAAUGUUGUAGGUAAGCCAACUAACCAAACCAGAGAGCAAGUUGAGAUAGCAGAAACUUAUAGACAAGCUCUAGUGAGCCAUUGAUUAUAGGAAAACUAGGAAUACCUGAAAUCUAACUUUAUCGCAAGUUUAUUAGUUUAUACUGUUGCUGUAUUUACAGGCAAAAAUAAUCUACGAUAGCUUGAAACUUUUUCUUUUCAUCAUGGACAUCAUACUUUAGUCAACGACUUUUAGCAAAACAUUAAUUAUUUUAUUAUAACUAGGAAAUCUACCCGUGCUUUACCGCACAGUAAAGUUAAUAGUUAGCAUUGGAAAAAGCACCAAACCAAAAUCUUAGACCAUCCCCAAACCUUUGGUGUCCAGACGAAUUCUGUUGCAACAGAUCUCCUUUCCCAAAGUGUUAUGUUUGACCACCAAAGAAUGAUUGUUAAGCAUUGCUUUGUACGUGUAUAAGGUUGAAUUAAAUUUCGAGAGAUAAGCAAACCCGUAAAAUCUCUUCUAAUUAGGCACUUUUCUGGAUUUCUACAACUACAUAUAAUUCUGAUAGAACUGUUAAAUUUGGGCUAAUUUUGGGCUUCCAACUAAAAACCAAUUGACAAUUAGUGGAUUGGCCCUAACCCUUUAUAUAUUAUUGAUUGUCCCAUCAAACUUCCGAUGUGGGACUUGGAUUGUAUCUCCAACGAGAACUAGGUAUGAAUUCUAUCAAGAUGCCACUCCUUGAAGAAACCGACAUAUCUGGUAGCUCUGUUGCUUCAAGAGAACAAAAGUCACAUUUGAUCAAUAUAUUGUCGAUGCUUUAUUCAUACGAACCAUUCCUUGCCAUGCCUUUAAAUAGGCUACAAACUCUUAGAAAUGGCGAAAAAAUACAUACCCUAUCACAAGCAAAAAAAUCUCAGAUAUGUCUUUAGACAUCAUAAAAGUCUUGAGAAAUUUACCAGCAAACUUGGGAGAAAGGUGCGACCGCUGUAGCAUGACGUGAGGGCCAAGGAUAAAUAUUGCCCAAAGGAAGAAUAAACCAGAUAUAAUGCUAAUGAUGACUAAAAGCCAUUUCACAUACCCAAUUGCAGUGAUCACGCCAAAAAGGAAUGCCAUGGGCAUGCAUAGUAAAGAAAAAAGUAGUAAGGGCAAGGCCACAUGUAAAGAUUCGCGGAUGAGUAGUGGAUCACCCAAUUGCGCCCAAAUAAGAGUACAUAUUGUUGCAACAGAACUUUGCAUUGCCAAGAUGUCAAAUAGCAGAAAAAUGAAGAGAGUCGGGUUUUUGGCCAAAGUUGCCCUGCCUAAGUUGGGUUUUUCGGCAUCGCUGUUAAACCCACCUGGUAUUGUAAAACCUGCAGCAAACGUCACUGUGGCUACAAGAGCCGCUACUAGUAGAAGAGUGCUUACGUAAUCUCUGUUAUUCUUAUGGUCUAUCGGUUCUGAUGGUAUUGUUAAUGACUCUACAGAUUCCAAACCACUUGAGUGAAUAGCGUAUAAUAAGAGCGCCAGUGUCCACCUCUGUAAUCCAAAAAAUGGGUUAAGCUAUAUAUCAUUUAUGAGGGAUCAACUGUGUUGUAUGAAACGGAAUUAGACAUACCUCAUGAAAGAUGUAGUUGGGUUUCACCUGUGACUCGGCAAUCUCCCUAGCGCUUAAGUCGCUUUUGUUUCGUAAAUUCAGUAUCUCGCUACUGUUAGCAAGAUGAGUAAUGGAGUCAAAGUGCCAGUUCAUGACGGCAAGGUGCAAAGGUGUAUUCCCGUCCACAUCUUGCCCAACACCCAAAUGUUUCGUAUCUUUAUUAUUCAUCAACCAAUCUGAAAUCCAAAAUUUACCAUUUUGUGCUGCAAUGUGGAGAACGUUCUGACCAAGUUUGUUAAGAAGGUAUUUUGAAUCUGGACAACGUUUUAUAAACUCUUCAACAAUUUUUUCAUGACCGUUUUCUGCAGCUGUAUGAAUUGGAAAGGAACCAUCUUGGUCGCAGACAUAAACACCCUUUGUUGAUCGGUCUAAGAGAUUGCAUACUUCUUCAUAAUACCCUUCAUAUGCUCCGACUGAUAGACAAGUCUUACCAUCUUUAUCUCGCUCGUCAAUAAGACUUGGAUAUUCAACAAGAAUAAAAUCAAAGACAUCUGUUCAAACAAUUGGGAACAACAAUUAGUAUACGUACUACAUAGGAAGAUUGUUAUCCUCUUGGAGAGGAAGUUGCCAUCUCAAACUGGUGUUACAUAAUUUGAACAGACUAAAUGCCUACUAGUUAAUGCGAAAAACAAACCUUUACUCUUGGCCAUCAAAGCAGCAUGUGCAAGAUAUUUUUUCCCUUGUAACUUUGAAUCUAAUUUAGACUUCUUCUCUUCAAGGUCCUCGUUGCCAGUAGUUUUCAAAAUCAAUUUCACAAGGGACACAUAUCCAAAAUAUACUGCCAUUAACAAGGAAGAUUCUCCCUUGUUAUUUCCAAGAAAAGGAGCAUCCUGGUUCGCGUUCACCAGACAUGUAGCCAUCUCGAAAUAGUGCCCUUUAAUGGCGUAGUGCAGAGCAGUAUUUCCAUUUGUGUCCUUGAGAACAUAUGGAUUCAGUCUCUCACUCUCUUCAGUACACAAUCUAGCUGAAGCAAAUGUUACCGUCUUAACAAAAGCCUCAAUAACAGGGGUAUGACCGCCAUGAGCCGCCACAUGAAGCGGUGUCUUACCUCUCGAGUUUGGCUCCAAGAGAAGGCGCGGACAUUCAGAGACAAUCUCCUUCACUAGUUCUAGAUGACCCCAUGUAGCAGCAAGAUGAAGAAUUGAAUCUCCUGUGUUGCUCUUGAGACGUGCCAUUGGCAUUCCUUGGCUUCUCAACUUCUCCAGACAUUCUUUCUUCCCAUCACUCAUUCCACUAAAAAUCUCCGGAGUCAUCUGGACAUCUUCACCAGGGAAAGCGAAAAAAUCCGACAAUCUAAGGUUAGUAAGAUACUCUGGCACAGAUUCGGUGUCUCCCGUAGGUGGAGUGGCGCCAUCUCCUCCGUUUUGAAAGGAAUCAUUUGAACGGGGUAUGUUCGUGGCGAGUAGCGGAGCUAAACAAAAAAUCAUAGUAUGUUAUUUAUUAGAUAUAUAGAAAGUUUUUGUACAAUCAUCUCUUACCCUAACUUUUACCACUUCUAACUAUUUAGUAUUUUUGCAUUGCUUAUCAAUUUUUUUUUUUUUUUUUUUUUACCGUUUUAUGUCACCAAUGGAAUCAACCACUCAUCCGUUUCAUGAUACAAAGUUUAUGAGUUCAACUAUGGAAUCUUAUAACUUAUAAAUCUAAAAUAU
RNAcentral lists this long non-coding RNA (18366 nucleotides) under Arabidopsis lyrata. RNAcentral's name for it is "long non-coding RNA (ALYR_LNC000948)". Lineage: Eukaryota; Viridiplantae; Streptophyta; Magnoliopsida; Brassicales; Brassicaceae. The record is from RNAcentral.